GCCUCUGUAGCUCAGUUGGUUAGAGCGCUGCACCGGAAUCGCAGGGCCGUAGGUUCAAUUCCUGCCAGAGGAC
RNAcentral lists this transfer RNA (73 nucleotides) under Paramuricea clavata. It matches the Rfam family "tRNA". Rfam says of the family: Transfer RNA (tRNA) molecules are approximately 80 nucleotides in length. Their secondary structure includes four short double-helical elements and three loops (D, anti-codon, and T loops). Further hydrogen bonds mediate the characteristic L-shaped molecular structure. tRNAs have two regions of fundamental functional importance: the anti-codon, which is responsible for specific mRNA codon recognition, and the 3' end, to which the tRNAs corresponding amino acid is attached (by aminoacyl-tRNA synthetases). tRNAs cope with the degeneracy of the genetic code in two manners: having more than one tRNA (with a specific anti-codon) for a particular amino acid; and 'wobble' base-pairing, i.e. permitting non-standard base-pairing at the 3rd anti-codon position. Lineage: Eukaryota; Metazoa; Cnidaria; Anthozoa; Malacalcyonacea; Plexauridae. The record is from Rfam by way of RNAcentral.